Molecule: ribosomal RNA, 424 nt
Filed under: uncultured bacterium
Lineage: Bacteria
Description: partial 16S ribosomal RNA
Rfam family: Bacterial small subunit ribosomal RNA
Source: RNAcentral
GUGGGGAAUCUUGCGCAAUGGGCGAAAGCCUGACGCAGCCAUGCCGCGUGAAUGAUGAAGGUCUUAGGUUUGUAAAAUUCUUUCACCGGGGACGAUAAUGACGGUACCCGGAGAAGAAGCCCCGGCUAACUUCGUGCCAGCAGCCGCGGUAAUACGAAGGGGGCUAGCGUUGCUCGGAAUUACUGGGCGUAAAGGGCGCGUAGGCGGAUCGUUAAGUCAGAGGUGAAAUCCCAGGGCUCAACCCUGGAACUGCCUUUGAUACUGGCGAUCUUGAGUAUGAGAGAGGUAUGUGGAACUCCGAGUGUAGAGGUGAAAUUCGUAGAUAUUCGGAAGAACACCAGUGCGAAGGUGACAUACUGGCUCAUUACUGACGCUGAGGCGCGAAAGCGUGGGGAGCAAACAGGAUUAGAUACCCUAGUAGUCC